CCUACGGGAGGCAGCAGUGAGGAAUAUUGGUCAAUGGGCGCGAGCCUGAACCAGCCAAGUAGCGUGAAGGAUGACUGCCCUACGGGUUGUAAACUUCUUUUAUAAAGGAAUAAAGUGAGGCACGUGUGCCUUUUUGUAUGUACUUUAUGAAUAAGGAUCGGCUAACUCCGUGCCAGCAGCCGCGGUAAUACGGAGGAUCCGAGCGUUAUCCGGAUUUAUUGGGUUUAAAGGGGGCGUAGGCGGGCAUUUAGGCCGGCGGUAAAAUGUCGGUGCUCAACCCCGGCCUGCCGUCGGAACUGGGUGCCUUGAGUGUGCGAGAGGUAGGUGGAAUGCGUGGUGUAGCGGUGAAAUGCGUAGAUAUCACGAAGAAUACCGAUUGCGAAGGCAGCAUACUGGCGCCCUACUGACGCUGAGGCGCGAAAGUGCGGGUAUCGAACAGGAUUAGAUACCCUUGUAGUC
Molecule: ribosomal RNA, 459 nt
Filed under: uncultured bacterium
Lineage: Bacteria
Description: partial 16S ribosomal RNA
Rfam family: Bacterial small subunit ribosomal RNA
Source: RNAcentral